This 551-nucleotide ribosomal RNA is filed under the name Lasiodiplodia pseudotheobromae. RNAcentral describes it as "eukaryotic LSU rRNA". The stretch from base 177 to 330 matches the Rfam family "5.8S ribosomal RNA". The record is from RNAcentral. Lineage: Eukaryota; Fungi; Ascomycota; Dothideomycetes; Botryosphaeriales; Botryosphaeriaceae.
AACAAGGUUUCCGUAGGUGAACCUGCGGAAGGAUCAUUACCGAGUUUUCGGGCUUCGGCUCGACUCUCCCACCCUUUGUGAACGUACCUCUGUUGCUUUGGCGGCUCCGGCCGCCAAAGGACCUCCAAACUCCAGUCAGUAAACGCAGACGUCUGAUAAACAAGUUAAUAAACUAAAACUUUCAACAACGGAUCUCUUGGUUCUGGCAUCGAUGAAGAACGCAGCGAAAUGCGAUAAGUAAUGUGAAUUGCAGAAUUCAGUGAAUCAUCGAAUCUUUGAACGCACAUUGCGCCCCUUGGUAUUCCGGGGGGCAUGCCUGUUCGAGCGUCAUUACAACCCUCAAGCUCUGCUUGGAAUUGGGCACCGUCCUCACUGCGGACGCGCCUCAAAGACCUCGGCGGUGGCUGUUCAGCCCUCAAGCGUAGUAGAAUACACCUCGCUUUGGAGUGGUUGGCGUCGCCCGCCGGACAAACCUUCUGAACUUUUCUCAAGGUUGACCUCGGAUCAUGUAGGGAUACCCGCUGAACUUAAGCAUAUCAAUAAGCGGAGGA